This 301-nucleotide ribosomal RNA is filed under the name uncultured bacterium. Its description in RNAcentral is "partial 16S ribosomal RNA". It matches the Rfam family "Bacterial small subunit ribosomal RNA", at positions 509 to 807 of the family's 1533-position model. The record is from RNAcentral.
CAGUAGCCGCGGUAAUACGAAGGGGGCUAGCGUUGUUCGGAAUUACUGGGCGUAAAGCGCACGUAGGCGGACAUUUAAGUCAGGGGUGAAAUCCCGGGGCUCAACCCCGGAACUGCCUUUGAUACUGGGUGUCUAGAGUAUGGAAGAGGUGAGUGGAAUUCCGAGUGUAGAGGUGAAAUUUGUAGAUAUUCGGAGGAACACCAGUGGCGAAGGCGGCUCACUGGUCCAUUACUGACGCUGAGGUGCGAAAGCGUGGGGAGCAAACAGGAUUAGAUACCCCGGUAGUCCCUGUCUCUUAUAC